UUUUUUUAAAAAAAUUUUUUUCCAGAGGAAAGUGUUUUGUGAAGAAGCAACAUGCCACAAUGGGGAAAGCAUAAACUUUGGAGUCAUUCAAACCUGGUUUCAAAAGCCUGAUUCUGGAACUGGUCCUCUGACCUUGGGAAAUUAAUAUAGAGUUGUAGAGAUUAAGUGAUAAACAUAGAUUGCAGCUCCCCUCCCUCUCCUUUUGUUCCUCGAUCUUCCCUAUCUUGUCCUCUGCUCUUAUCUCAGUCUGUAUUUUUGUAACCUUUAGCAUAACAGUAGUAAGUAACAUUUUUAAAUUUUGUUUUAUGUGUCCAGUCCUUCUUCCCUGACUAUAAGGUACACAAGAACAGGGAUUGUUUCUUCCAGAUGCCUGGCACUUAGUGGGUAUUAAUGAGUAUUGGAUAAAUGAAUGGCAAAUGCCUGAUUCAUUGUUAGUGGAGUUUCACUUCCCCUCAUUGAGUGGAAAAAUGUUCAAUUUUUUUUUCCUUAUAUACACACUUUUUUUUUUUUUCACAAGAAGUCUCAUUUUAAGCCUCACUAAAAUUUUUGUCAAUUGCCUACAGAAAUCAAACAACCUCCAAUUUGUUGUGGAAGUACUCCAGUGUUUUUUGUUUUGUUUUCGCAGUAACUGAGGAUUGAACCCAGGGCCACUAUACCACUGAGCUACAUCCAGCCCUUUUUUAUUUUUGAUUUUAAAACAGGUUCUCACCGUACCUGGUAGAAAUUUCUCCUUUUGAAAUUGUACCACACACAAUAAAGGUUAAUAACAGUUAAAGCUAACUUUUGUUCUCUCAGGCAUCUCUUCCAGGAUGGGUUCAUAGUGCUUUCUACCAAUGAAAUCCUGCACUGGAUUAAUAGGAAAUGCAGCUGUGCUAGUUUGUUGUUUCUUUAUGUAGGAGUUUAGUUCUUGACGUUUGUCAUUAGUGUUUUCUUUUAAAAUUAAAUAAAUAUAAAUAUUUG
RNAcentral lists this long non-coding RNA (960 nucleotides) under Marmota monax (woodchuck). The record is from RNAcentral. Lineage: Eukaryota; Metazoa; Chordata; Mammalia; Rodentia; Sciuridae.